UCAAGAUAAGAUUUCCCACCGCAAGGGUAAGACUCCAGAAAGACUAUCUGGUUGAUAGGUCGAAGGUGUAAGUGCAGCAAUGUAUUUAGCUUAUCGAUACUAAUAGGUCGAGGACUUGACCAA
RNAcentral lists this ribosomal RNA (123 nucleotides) under Clostridioides difficile. RNAcentral's name for it is "partial 23S ribosomal RNA". It matches the Rfam family "Bacterial large subunit ribosomal RNA", at positions 2799 to 2925 of the family's 2925-position model. The record is from RNAcentral. Lineage: Bacteria; Bacillati; Bacillota; Clostridia; Peptostreptococcales; Peptostreptococcaceae.